This 277-nucleotide ribosomal RNA is filed under the name Armillaria borealis. RNAcentral's name for it is "partial 26S ribosomal RNA". It matches the Rfam family "Eukaryotic large subunit ribosomal RNA", at positions 3120 to 3401 of the family's 3401-position model. Lineage: Eukaryota; Fungi; Basidiomycota; Agaricomycetes; Agaricales; Physalacriaceae. The record is from RNAcentral.
CUGAACGCCUCUAAGUCAGAAUCCGUGCUAGAAACGAUGAUGUUGGGGUCGCACAUUAGACUUGUGUUUAAUAGAGCUUUGCUCGUGAACCAAAUAUGGUGGGCUGGGUUGUCUUUGUGGAAACGCUUAGGCGACUUGUCUACGAAUUGUAAUCAUAAUAUGGGCGGCGGUGAAUCCUUUGCAGACGACUUGAAUGGGAACGGGGUACUGUAAGUGGUAGAGUAGCCUUGUUGCUACGAUCCACUGAGGUUAAGCCCUUGUUCUAAAGAUUUGUUCA